RNAcentral lists this unclassified non-coding RNA (1591 nucleotides) under Hevea brasiliensis (rubber tree). The record is from RNAcentral. Lineage: Eukaryota; Viridiplantae; Streptophyta; Magnoliopsida; Malpighiales; Euphorbiaceae.
UCAUAGCUGAUAAAAGCUGUGAUCCUAGGGCUCUGAAUCAUGCUUUGGGAAAAGGGGCCAUUGAAUAUGAGAAGUUCCUGGAAACUGGUGACCCUGACUUUGCUUGGAAACGACCAGAGGACGAGUGGCAGAGUAUCGCUUUAGGUUAUACUUCUGGCACAACGGCCAGCCCUAAAGGUGUGGUGCUGAGCCACCGAGGAGCCUAUCUAAUGUCCUUGAGUAAUCCUCUAAAUUGGGGGAUGAAUGAAGGGGCUGUGUACUUGUGGACUUUACCAAUGUUCCAUUGCAAUGGUUGGUGUUACACUUGGGCUCUUGCAGCUCUUUGUGGUACAAACAUAUGCCUUCGGCAGGUAUCAGCCAGGGCAGUCUAUUCAGCCAUAGCAAAUGAUGGUGUCAGUCACUUCUGUGCUGCACCUGUGGUGCUCAAUACCAUAGUGAAUGCUCCUAUGGAGGAGACUAUCCUACCACUACCACGUGUUGUACAUGUAAUGACCGCUGGUGCUGCCCCACCCCCUUCUAUACUCUUUGCAAUGUCAGAAAAAGGUUUCCGUGUAACACAUACUUAUGGCCUCUCAGAAACUUAUGGCCCUUCCACUGUGUGUUCAUGGAAGCCUGAGUGGGACUGCCAGCCUCCCGUAAUCCAAGCCCGUCUAAAUGCACGCCAGGGUGUCCGAUACAUUAGCUUGGAAGGCCUUGAUGUUGUUGACCCUAAAACUAUGAAGCCUGUCCCUGCAGAUGGAACCACCAUUGGAGAAAUAGUGAUGAGGGGCAAUGUUGUGAUGAAAGGCUACUUGAAGAAUCCAAAAGCCAAUGAAGAAGCUUUUGCAAAUGGGUGGUUUCAUUCUGGGGAUCUUGCUGUAAAGCAUCCAGACAAUUAUAUAGAGAUUAAGGACAGAUCAAAGGACAUUAUCAUCUCUGGGGGAGAAAACAUAAGUAGCCUGGAGGUAGAAAAUGUACUGUAUGCACACCCAGCAAUAUAUGAGGUAUCAGUGGUGGCUAGGCCAGAUCAGCAGUGGGGGGAGUCACCCUGUGCUUUUGUGACAUUGAAGCCUGAAGUUGACAAAUUGAAUGAAGGGCGUUUGGCUGAAGAUAUAAUAAAGUUUUCCCGGUCGAAGAUGCCUGCUUACUGGGUUCCAAAAUCUGUAAUAUUUGGACCAUUGCCAAAGACAGCUACUGGGAAGAUUCAGAAGCACUUGCUGAGGGUUAAGGCAAAAGAGAUGGGCCCUGUGAAGAAAAGCAAGCUAUAAUUUUUAUUCUGAAAGGUUAAGAAAUUUCCGGUUCCUUUUAAAUUGAAUGAGGCGUGUUCAUCCUUGCCACCAAGAUUUUGCAAAUCGACACCCUUGUAAUUUCUUCGCUGAAUGCAUGCCCUAUUGGAUGAUCAUUUCUUGAGAGGAAGGAUCUUUUAAGUGCAGGGUUCAUGGCGGUACAAAUACUAUUGUGUUCAUGUGUAAAGUAGUAGCUUGAAUUAAAGGUUGUCAACUUCAUUAUUUGUACGGAAGAUGAAUCCUUGGAUAUGUAAUGUAUUCAUUUAUGCAAUUAAUUUGGAAAAUUCGAUGACGUGACAGCUCAUUUGUUGUGAAAGAGAGAGGAU